This 492-nucleotide ribosomal RNA is filed under the name uncultured bacterium. RNAcentral's name for it is "partial 16S ribosomal RNA". It matches the Rfam family "Bacterial small subunit ribosomal RNA", at positions 30 to 507 of the family's 1533-position model. The record is from RNAcentral.
AUUGAACGCUGGCGGCAUGCUUUACACAUGCAAGUCGAACGGUAACAGGCCUUCGGGUGCUGACGAGUGGCGAACGGGUGAGUAAUGCGUCGGAACGUACCCAGAGGUGGGGGAUAACGCAGCGAAAGCUGUGCUAAUACUGCAUGUGAUCUGAGGAUGAAAGCGGGGGACCGAGCAGCAAUGUUUGGCCUCGCGCCUUUGGAGCGGCCGAUGUCGGAUUAGCUAGUUGGUGGGGUAAAGGCCUACCAAGGCGACGAUCCGUAGCUGGUCUGAGAGGACGACCAGCCACACUGGGACUGAGACACGGCCCAGACUCCUACGGGAGGCAGCAGUGGGGAAUUUUGGACAUUGGGCGCAAGCCUGAUCCAGCAAUGCCGCGUGCGGGAAGAAGGCCUUCGGGUUGUAAACCGCUUUUGGCAGGAACGAAACGGUGUCCGCUAAUACCGGGCGCUAAUGACGGUACCUGCAGAAUAAGCACCGGCUAACUACGUG